This is a ribosomal RNA of Sphaeroforma arctica JP610, 116 nucleotides long. NCBI's taxonomy places the organism in Eukaryota, Ichthyosporea, Ichthyophonida. The record is from RefSeq and is a predicted model, not a curated record.
UCGGCCAUAUACAGCUUAAAAAAAUACUCGGUCCUAUCCGAUCUCGGAAGUCAAACUGCUGCGCGCGUGGUCAGUACUGCGGUGGCCGACCACGCGGCACUUUUUUUAUCUAUUUU